AUGGUUCUGCUUCGUUACGGCGUCAUGUAUCUCAUCGAGCACCCAUCCCCACCCAACGCCAACAGCCAGUACCUCGAGCUCGACACCCACGUCGCCCUCGCCAUGUAUGCCACCCUCUCUAAUCAGAUCGCCGACCACGUGAUCGGCGCCACCACCACUUUCGAUCUCUGGUCUCGGAUCAGGGACUACUUCCUCGCAAAUCACGCGGCUCAGUACAUGAUGCUCAAUCGUCAGUAUCGCAACCUCAAGCAGGGCGACCUCUUCGUCGACGAAUACACACGCCGCAUGAAGCUGCUCACCGCGGGCCUCGUCGACAUCGACCAUGCGGUCUCCGAGGUGGAUCUGACCACUUAG
Molecule: ribosomal RNA, 354 nt
Filed under: Triticum aestivum (bread wheat)
Lineage: Eukaryota; Viridiplantae; Streptophyta; Magnoliopsida; Poales; Poaceae
Description: partial small subunit ribosomal RNA
Source: RNAcentral